RNAcentral lists this ribosomal RNA (424 nucleotides) under uncultured bacterium. Its description in RNAcentral is "SSU rRNA". It matches the Rfam family "Bacterial small subunit ribosomal RNA", at positions 369 to 808 of the family's 1533-position model. The record is from RNAcentral.
CAAUGGGGGAAACCCUGAAUGCAGCAACGCCGCGUGAGCGAUGAAGGCCUUCNCGGUCGUAAAGCUCUGUCCUCAAGGNAAGAUAAUGACGGUACUUGAGGAGGAAGCCCCGGCUAACUACGUGCCAGCAGCCGCGGUAAUACGUAGGGGGCUAGCGUUAUCCGGAAUUACUGGGCGUAAAGGGUGCGUAGGUGGUUUCUUAAGUCAGAGGUGAAAGGCUACGGCUCAACCGUAGUAAGCCUUUGAAACUGGGAAACUUGAGUGCAGGAGAGGAGAGUGGAAUUCCUAGUGUAGCGGUGAAAUGCGUAGAUAUUAGGAGGAACACCAGUUGCGAAGGCGGCUCUCUGGACUGUAACUGACACUGAGGCACGAAAGCGUGGGGAGCAAACAGGAUUAGAUACCCUGGUAGUCCAAGGGCGAAUUC